Pleuronectes platessa (European plaice) is the source of this 184-nucleotide long non-coding RNA. RefSeq lists it as uncharacterized. Lineage: Eukaryota; Metazoa; Chordata; Actinopteri; Pleuronectiformes; Pleuronectidae. The transcript has 2 exons. The record is from RefSeq and is a predicted model, not a curated record.
CCUCUAUAAAGAUCUGGUCCGCUCAACAGGCCGGCGCCAGAUUAUUCCAUAUAUCAUGAACCUCCGUGUGCCUCUUCGCUCGGCUGUCCUCCUCGCCUCUCCGUGGAUCCUCCAGCCAGCCUGCACCCUGCCGCUCCAGCCUGUACCUGCCUACACAGUCAAUAAACUGUUACCUUUUUCACUA